Molecule: ribosomal RNA, 301 nt
Filed under: uncultured bacterium
Lineage: Bacteria
Description: partial 16S ribosomal RNA
Rfam family: Bacterial small subunit ribosomal RNA
Source: RNAcentral
CAGUAGCCGCGGUAAUACAGAGGGUGCGAGCGUUAAUCGGAUUUACUGGGCGUAAAGCGUGCGUAGGCGGCUUCUUAAGUCGGAUGUGAAAUCCCUGAGCUUAACUUAGGAAUUGCAUUCGAUACUGGGAAGCUAGAGUAUGGGAGAGGAUGGUAGAAUUCCAGGUGUAGCGGUGAAAUGCGUAGAGAUCUGGAGGAAUACCGAUGGCGAAGGCAGCCAUCUGGCCUAAUACUGACGCUGAGGUACGAAAGCAUGGGGAGCAAACAGGAUUAGAUACCCGAGUAGUCCCUGUCUCUUAUCC